GUGGGGGUGAGGGCCAGCUGGUAUACUGGCCUGCUGACAUGGGAUAGGGUGAAUACUGUGUGCCUGUGAGCCCAGGAAAAGAAGAGGGAAAUGUUUCUUUACCACCAGGUUGAAAUCAUUUCAAGGUUGCCCCAUAAGAGACACAGGGAAAGAUGGCAUCUGGCAGAGACUGGGAAUAUCCAAGAAGGGAGCCCGACACUCAUGUGGCCAGGUCUGCUGUGAGACCAAGCCUAUGUGAGUUGGCUAGAAAUGAAUACCACUUGGUGGAGAGCUGUCAUCCCAAACCGAGACUAUCCAGGGCGGCCAGCACCCACUUCACCUGCCAGCUAACUUCAGAUACACGAGUGAGCUGA
This 353-nucleotide long non-coding RNA is filed under the name Capra hircus (goat). RNAcentral describes it as "lncRNA (ENSCHIG00000004575.1)". The record is from RNAcentral. Lineage: Eukaryota; Metazoa; Chordata; Mammalia; Artiodactyla; Bovidae.